CAGGAAGCAGACACACAAGCACACAUACAGUAUGCACAGAACAAAAUGAAAACCGAGAGGAAAAGGAAUAUUUUAACUUGAGGAAGGAAAAUAAAGUCAGGUGCCAGAAGAGAGGACCCCAUCUAGAACAUCGAAUCUAUCUAGAACGUUUAGGUUCUGGACGACCUCUGCAGUAGUACUCAAGGUAAUCAAGGGAGUGAGGCAAAACAAAUGAAAAACAGAGACGGACAACCAGAUCAAAUGCCGAAAGAAGAAAGCCCAAGGUGAAAACUUUCCAUGUCAAUAUGCCGGCUGUCAACAGAUGAUGUGGCGGGCAUCGGGCGGCAGAAAAAGGUGUUCCCGGUGUGUUGACGAUGUCGGAAGUGUGUCGAUGAGUAAUGUCAUCUGACAGUUGAUGUUGGGUGAAGCGUACAGUAAUGGGGAGACAGAGGUCAGAGAAACCAUUACCACAGUGGGGGCGGAGAGGAAGGGGAAAUGAAAGUGGCAACUAUGGUGUUGUCUUCUCCAACUGUCGGGCGUGGCGGCUGCCCUUCUGCUGUGACUGAGAAUCUGGGCUGGCUACACAUUCAUUACAGAGUGAACUGACCCGACCAUCAUCAUUAAUCCAAGUCAGAGGUGAUAUGAAAUAAAAUGUUCCAUUGACUGUUGAGAAGGUUGAUUUUUGUUUCCCUAGGAUGUUCUGUUUGUCUUAUUGCCCUCUCUCUCCUUUACUAUUUUUUUCUUCUUCCACCAUCUGCAUCACUCAACUAUGUGAUGACAUUGAACUCCAUUCUAACAUAAGAAUCUAUUAGAUCAUUAUGAACGCACUGCAAUCCUUCUUGUACUGUGACGAUAAUCUGCUGAUUUAAAGCAGCGCAUUUGCAUUUAUUUUCUCAAUUCAAUUGAGAUAUGAGUUGAUCCCAGUAUUGUUCUACUGAUGCAUGGG
This is a long non-coding RNA of Syngnathoides biaculeatus (alligator pipefish), 925 nucleotides long. RefSeq lists it as uncharacterized. The transcript has 4 exons. The record is from RefSeq and is a predicted model, not a curated record. Lineage: Eukaryota; Metazoa; Chordata; Actinopteri; Syngnathiformes; Syngnathidae.